RNAcentral lists this ribosomal RNA (425 nucleotides) under uncultured bacterium. RNAcentral's name for it is "bacterial SSU rRNA". It matches the Rfam family "Bacterial small subunit ribosomal RNA", at positions 354 to 796 of the family's 1533-position model. The record is from RNAcentral.
GUGGGGAAUCUUGCACAAUGGGGGAAACCCUGAUGCAGCGACGCCGCGUGAGCGAUGAAGCCCUUCGGGGUGUAAAGCUCUUUCGGCAGGAACGAUUAUGACGGUACCUGUAGAAGAAGCUGCGGCUAACUACGUGCCAGCAGCCGCGGUAAUACGUAGGCAGCAAGCGUUGUUCGGAAUUACUGGGCGUAAAGAGUGUGUAGGCGGUUGUCUAAGUUUGGUGUGAAAUCUCCCGGCUCAACUGGGAGGGUGCGCCGAAAACUGGAUAGCUUGAGUAUGGGAGAGGGAAGCGGAAUUCCUGGUGUAGCGGUGAAAUGCGUAGAUAUCAGGAGGAACACCUGCGGUGUAGACGGCUUCCUGGACCAUCACUGACGCUGAGACACGAAAGCGUGGGUAGCAAACAGGAUUAGAAACCCGUGUAGUCC